UGUCCGGCCUGGUCGGUGGUUGGUACCCGGCGGUGUGGACGCUGAUCCUGCUCUCCGGGCUGGGCGUGGCGAUGUUCCAUCCGGCGGCCGGACGG
Molecule: transfer RNA, 95 nt
Filed under: Actinoplanes regularis
Lineage: Bacteria; Bacillati; Actinomycetota; Actinomycetes; Micromonosporales; Micromonosporaceae
Description: tRNA-His
Source: RNAcentral